AGUGAACGCUGGCGGUAGGCCUAACACAUGCAAGUCGAACGGCAGCACAGUAAGAGCUUGCUCUUACGGGUGGCGAGUGGCGGACGGGUGAGGAAUACAUCGGAAUCUACUUUUUCGUGGGGGAUAACGUAGGGAAACUUACGCUAAUACCGCAUACGGCCUACGGGUGAAAGCAGGGGAUCUUCGGACCUUGCGCGACUGAAUGAGCCGAUGUCGGAUUAGCUAGUUGGCGGGGUAAAGGCCCACCAAGGCGACGAUCCGUAGCUGGUCUGAGCAGAUGAUCAGCCACACUGGAACUGAGACACGGUCCAGACUCCUAAGGGAGGCAGCAGUGGGGAAUAUUGGACAAUGGGCGCAAGCCUGAUCCAGCCAUACCGCGUGAGUGAAGAAGGCCUUCGGGUUGUAAAGCCCUUUUGUUGGGAAAGAAAAGCAGCAGGUUAAUACCCCGCUGUUCUGACGGUACCCAAAGAAUAAGCACCGGCUAACUUCGUG
RNAcentral lists this ribosomal RNA (492 nucleotides) under uncultured bacterium. RNAcentral's name for it is "partial 16S ribosomal RNA". It matches the Rfam family "Bacterial small subunit ribosomal RNA", at positions 29 to 507 of the family's 1533-position model. The record is from RNAcentral.